This 253-nucleotide ribosomal RNA is filed under the name uncultured bacterium. RNAcentral's name for it is "partial 16S ribosomal RNA". It matches the Rfam family "Bacterial small subunit ribosomal RNA", at positions 524 to 776 of the family's 1533-position model. The record is from RNAcentral.
UACGUAGGGGGCAAGCGUUGUCCGGAAUCACUGGGCGUAAAGGGUGCGUAGGCGGGUCUUUAAGUCAGGGGUGAAAUCCUGGAGCUCAACUCCAGAACUGCCUUUGAUACUGGGAGUCUUGAGUUCGGGAGAGGUGAGUGGAACUGCGAGUGUAGAGGUGAAAUUCGUAGAUAUUCGCAAGAACACCAGUGGCGAAGGCGGCUCACUGGCCCGAUACUGACGCUGAGGUGCGAAAGCGUGGGGAGCAAACAGG